RNAcentral lists this long non-coding RNA (2053 nucleotides) under Equus caballus (horse). RNAcentral's name for it is "lncRNA (ENSECAG00000057948.1)". The record is from RNAcentral. Lineage: Eukaryota; Metazoa; Chordata; Mammalia; Perissodactyla; Equidae.
CUCUGGCUCACAAUACUUUUGUCAAAACUACCAUCAAUGGAUUUACAUAACAUAUUGUUCAUCCUCAUUUUAUUCCUCACAGUAUCACUUUUGACCAAAGAAGACAUUUUAGAGCAAGUAAAGUGAGGCAGUGAGUUAAGCUCAGAGAAUUUACAAGUUCUCUCUAUAACCCUUACUCCAACUCAACUCACCUGAUAGAAUGGCCUUUUGUUGACUCAGUUAUAGCACCAGCUUGGUGGCGAUGCUCUUAGAGUUGAACCGUUGUCCUAUGAUGUAUCACGUGCUUUGACCAGCAACCAAUACAAUGGCUUUUUUCCCAUAGCCAGGAUAUCAGAAUAUGUUCUGAACAGAGAUGUGGAAAUAGGAGUGACUACUUUCUCUAUUGCUCUCAAUUAUUUGCUAGGAAAACAAAAUAAAACAAAACAAAAUGGCUUCCCAUUUCCAUCCCAUGGGAUCUACCAGAUUAGAGGAACUGACCAAGGUUUCCAUUGACUCGGAAGCUGAGAUGAUAACCUGAGCAUUUUGAACCACACUGGUUUUUGCAAUUACAGAUGAAGAAGAGAGAUGCUAGAAACUUCGUUUCCCACAAUCACCUUCCCUGUGUGACUCCAGACUGCAGUUUGACAUUGAGAAGUACUCUCAUGAGAUUUGGAAAGCAGAAGGGAAGGAAAAGCCAUUAUCCUCUAGAGGCAUUUGCAGCUAGAAACAGGAGUAGACAAGAUUCACAGAGACUUCCCAGUGGGCUCUUGAGAAACAUCCGUUUUGGAGCUUCAGGAUCUAGUAAUUGUCAUGAACACAAAGAAUCACAAACAGCCAAGUUAUUUUCCACAUCUAUCCGAUGGAAGAGUAUCCUGAUUGUAAUCAAGACCAGAAGUUUAGUCCAGGUUGUUAGCUUGUGCUUCCAAAUCUCUGAUUUCAACUGGCCCCCAGAAUCUCUGGUUAACUGAAGUCUAACAAAAGGAAAUGAGUCUCUGUCACCGAGCUGUUAAAAGGUCAACAAGAGUGACAGCUUCACCAUCUCAAUUGCAGAUUUUCAGCUAAAAGCCAGCUGAUGUCAAGUUGAAGUCAAAACUGAGACCUCAUCAUAAUAAACAGAUUGUCAAAACAGCAAAGAAUUGCACAGCUUAGAAUAGGAAACACAGGAGGCUGGCUUUGUGUCAAUUUGAGGGCAUGACAUUGAGCAAGGGGGCCCUCAAAAACCCAACCUACUGCUUUGUCAUUCUAACGCUACUCUUUUGAUCUUGAAAGUUUGUUGGUCUUCCAUACAUAACUCCAGAGAGAGAGGAAAGAGACACUAUGUUUACUGUCCAUGGCUUUCAAUUACCUUAUUAAUUUUGAUAUCUGUGUGACUAUAGAAGUAGUAGAAACAACUCGAAAGAAGUAGCAGAAACUUGGCAUUAGAUGAUCGCGUAUCAACAAAUAGAAAAUGAUGUUGAUGGUGGAAAUGCAAACUAAGGAUGAAAUCAGUUUAUUUGCAAUUAUUCUUAAUUAAAACUAUGCCUUGCAAGUUAGAUCUCCAGGACAGACAUAUAAAUUUAGAAAGAAACUGAAAAAAAUUAUAAAGUGAAUGGAAGACAUUAUUGGGAAGGGGCUUUUGGAUCAAUUUGCAGAGCUCUAUAAGCAUCUUAAAAUUAUGCAAUUACAUAUGGGAACUUGAAGUUAUGUCUUGUAAACUUGAGGAUACUGUGCAAUGCGACAUCUUGUGUCAUCACAUAUACACACAAUGAAAUACAAUAUAUGUUAAGUUCAUAUUAUGCACCAGGCUGUUUUACGCUUUCGAAAUAAAUUAGAAAACAAAAGACAUUAUUCACAAUAGCCAAGACUUGGAAGCAACCUAGGUGCCCAUCCAGAGAUGAAUGGAUAAAGAAGAUGUGGUAUUUAUACAUGAUGCACUACUACUCAUCCAUAAGAAAUGAUGAAAUCCCGCCAUUUGUGACAACAUGGAUGGACCUUGAGGGGAUUAUGCUGAAUGAAAUAAGUCAGAGGGAGAAAAUCAAAUACCGUAUGAUCUCACUCAUAUGUAGAAGAUAAAAACAGUGACAAGCAAACACAU